This 253-nucleotide ribosomal RNA is filed under the name uncultured bacterium. RNAcentral describes it as "partial 16S ribosomal RNA". It matches the Rfam family "Bacterial small subunit ribosomal RNA", at positions 524 to 776 of the family's 1533-position model. The record is from RNAcentral.
UACGUAGGGUGCAAGCGUUGUCCGGAAUUAUUGGGCGUAAAGAGCUCGUAGGCGGUCUGUCGCGUCGGCUGUGAAAACUCGGGGCUCAACCCCGAGCCUGCAGCCGAUACGGGCAGACUAGAGUUCGGUAGGGGAGACUGGAAUUCCUGGUGUAGCGGUGAAAUGCGCAGAUAUCAGGAGGAACACCGGUGGCGAAGGCGGGUCUCUGGGCCGUAACUGACGCUGAGGAGCGAAAGCGUGGGGAGCGAACAGG